Molecule: ribosomal RNA, 309 nt
Filed under: Triticum aestivum (bread wheat)
Lineage: Eukaryota; Viridiplantae; Streptophyta; Magnoliopsida; Poales; Poaceae
Description: partial small subunit ribosomal RNA
Source: RNAcentral
AUGUGUCGAUCACUAACUAAUAGACAGGAGUCUGAUGUUGGAAAGAAGCAACUGGUACCAAAGCAAAAGCAUCACGACUCCCCUUACAAAUCAAUGAAGUGUUCUAAUUCUAAUUCUGGCGAUCUAAGCACCGGUCCAAGCGGCUCUCCCUCGGCUAUGCCUGGAUGUUCGAGCUGUCAGUGUGUACAGGAGCAGCAGCCACCACCGCUGCCAAGUAGCUCCAGCAAUCACGUGCUCACUCUUGCUUCACAGACUAUGUAUGGUCAGUUCAGAAAAUUGGAGGUUUUAGGAUCUUUGGAAGUUUUUUGA